AUUUUCUUUGGAUAGACGGCCGUACAUAUAGCGGAAAUCGGUGCGGAUAUAUGCUUACCAUUAAUUUAUCGCCAGCCACCAGGGGCAAAUUUCUGCGACCAACGUAACCGGAGUCGUCGUCGUCCGUGUUGUAGACCUUUAAAAUAUUGUAAGAAUAAUGUAUUCUUUGCUGAAUGCUGAUAAAGAAAACCUAAAACUGGUGACUGUGUAACUAGCGGAGGCAAAGUACAUUUACCUUGGAUAGGCCUGUCUGGCAGCACACUAUCGCUACGCUACUAUCGCUACGCUACUAUCGCUACCACAAACAUAUCGAGAUCAGAAGAACCAAUUUUUGCUGAAUGUUUAGUUUUUAAAUAUUAUUAAGAAAAAAUAAAUAAGAACCUGAGAAAAACAGUGGUGACAACUCUUACAAAUCUUUCAAAGAAAUAAGAUAAGCAUGCAU
Non-coding RNA from Drosophila melanogaster (fruit fly), 442 nucleotides. Lineage: Eukaryota; Metazoa; Arthropoda; Insecta; Diptera; Drosophilidae. The record is from Ensembl.